RNAcentral lists this non-coding RNA (167 nucleotides) under Pan troglodytes (chimpanzee). Lineage: Eukaryota; Metazoa; Chordata; Mammalia; Primates; Hominidae. The record is from Rfam by way of RNAcentral.
GCCGGGUGUGGUGGCAGGCACCUGUAAUCCCAGCUACUCAGGAGGCUGAGGCAGGAGUCUUGCUUGAACCCAGGAGACAGAGGUUGCAGUGAGCAGAGACCGCGCCAGUGAGCAGAGACCGCGCCACUGCACUCCAGCCUGGGUGACAGAGCAAGCCUCUGUCUCAA